This 308-nucleotide long non-coding RNA is filed under the name Androctonus crassicauda. Lineage: Eukaryota; Metazoa; Arthropoda; Arachnida; Scorpiones; Buthidae. The record is from RNAcentral.
AAUUCGCAAACAGGUUUCAGGCACAGAUGGCAUACACUAAGAAAUGGAUGGUGGAUGCAUCAAUUAUAUGUGCUGGGGACGAUGGGUCUGGGAGGGUGGCUUUCAUUGGGGGAGAGGAAUGCAUAGACAUGCUGUGUGCCUUUGUACAUCAAUCGGAUUCGGAGUGUUUGCCGGGUGAUCCUGCAGAUAAGCUUGGGGGGGGCCUCGCCAAACUUAUUGGCUCCCGUAGGUUCCCAGGCGUAUGGAGCGUGAAAGGGGUUGGAGGUCCUUAUGCUCCAGGAUUGUUUGCGUGUGUGAAGGCGCAUGGG